RNAcentral lists this ribosomal RNA (2237 nucleotides) under Salmonella enterica. Its description in RNAcentral is "partial 23S ribosomal RNA". It matches the Rfam family "Bacterial large subunit ribosomal RNA", at positions 582 to 2802 of the family's 2925-position model. The record is from RNAcentral. Lineage: Bacteria; Pseudomonadati; Pseudomonadota; Gammaproteobacteria; Enterobacterales; Enterobacteriaceae.
CCCUUUGGGGUGUGACUGCGUACCUUUUGUAUAAUGGGUCAGCGACUUAUAUUCUGUAGCAAGGUUAACCGAAUAGGGGAGCCGGAGGGAAACCGAGUCUUAACCGGGCGUUAAGUUGCAGGGUAUAGACCCGAAACCCGGUGAUCUAGCCAUGGGCAGGUUGAAGGUUGGGUAACACUAACUGGAGGACCGAACCGACUAAUGUUGAAAAAUUAGCGGAUGACCUGUGGCUGGGGGUGAAAGGCCAAUCAAACCGGGAGAUAGCUGGUUCUCCCCGAAAGCUAUUUAGGUAGCGCCUCGUGAAUUCAUCUCCGGGGGUAGAGCACUGUUUCGGCUAGGGGGCCAUCCCGGCUUACCAACCCGAUGCAAACUGCGAAUACCGGAGAAUGUUAUCACGGGAGACACACGGCGGGUGCUAACGUCCGUCGUGAAGAGGGAAACAACCCAGACCGCCAGCUAAGGUCCCAAAGUCAUGGUUAAGUGGGAAACGAUGUGGGAAGGCCCAGACAGCCAGGAUGUUGGCUUAGAAGCAGCCAUCAUUUAAAGAAAGCGUAAUAGCUCACUGGUCGAGUCGGCCUGCGCGGAAGAUGUAACGGGGCUAAACCAUGCACCGAAGCUGCGGCAGCGACGCUGAUGCGUUGUUGGGUAGGGGAGCGUUCUGUAAGCCUGUGAAGGUGGCCUGUGAGGGUUGCUGGAGGUAUCAGAAGUGCGAAUGCUGACAUAAGUAACGAUAAAGCGGGUGAAAAGCCCGCUCGCCGGAAGACCAAGGGUUCCUGUCCAACGUUAAUCGGGGCAGGGUGAGUCGACCCCUAAGGCGAGGCCGAAAGGCGUAGUCGAUGGGAAACGGGUUAAUAUUCCCGUACUUGGUGUUACUGCGAAGGGGGGACGGAGAAGGCUAUGUUGGCCGGGCGACGGUUGUCCCGGUUUAAGCGUGUAGGUGUGUGUUCCAGGUAAAUCCGGUUCACUUUAACACUGAGGCGUGAUGACGAGGCACUACGGUGCUGAAGCAACAAAUGCCCUGCUUCCAGGAAAAGCCUCUAAGCAUCAGGUAACAUCAAAUCGUACCCCAAACCGACACAGGUGGUCAGGUAGAGAAUACCAAGGCGCUUGAGAGAACUCGGGUGAAGGAACUAGGCAAAAUGGUGCCGUAACUUCGGGAGAAGGCACGCUGACACGUAGGUGAAGUGAUUUACUCAUGGAGCUGAAGUCAGUCGAAGAUACCAGCUGGCUGCAACUGUUUAUUAAAAACACAGCACUGUGCAAACACGAAAGUGGACGUAUACGGUGUGACGCCUGCCCGGUGCCGGAAGGUUAAUUGAUGGGGUCAGCGCAAGCGAAGCUCCUGAUCGAAGCCCCGGUAAACGGCGGCCGUAACUAUAACGGUCCUAAGGUAGCGAAAUUCCUUGUCGGGUAAGUUCCGACCUGCACGAAUGGCGUAAUGAUGGCCAGGCUGUCUCCACCCGAGACUCAGUGAAAUUGAACUCGCUGUGAAGAUGCAGUGUACCCGCGGCAAGACGGAAAGACCCCGUGAACCUUUACUAUAGCUUGACACUGAACAUUGAGCCUUGAUGUGUAGGAUAGGUGGGAGGCUUUGAAGUGUGGACGCCAGUCUGCAUGGAGCCGGCCUUGAAAUACCACCCUUUAAUGUUUGAUGUUCUAACGUGGACCCGUGAUCCGGGUUGCGGACAGUGUCUGGUGGGUAGUUUGACUGGGGCGGUCUCCUCCUAAAGAGUAACGGAGGAGCACGAAGGUUGGCUAAUCCUGGUCGGACAUCAGGAGGUUAGUGCAAUGGCAUAAGCCAGCUUGACUGCGAGCGUGACGGCGCGAGCAGGUGCGAAAGCAGGUCAUAGUGAUCCGGUGGUUCUGAAUGGAAGGGCCAUCGCUCAACGGAUAAAAGGUACUCCGGGGAUAACAGGCUGAUACCGCCCAAGAGUUCAUAUCGACGGCGGUGUUUGGCACCUCGAUGUCGGCUCAUCACAUCCUGGGGCUGAAGUAGGUCCCAAGGGUAUGGCUGUUCGCCAUUUAAAGUGGUACGCGAGCUGGGUUUAGAACGUCGUGAGACAGUUCGGUCCCUAUCUGCCGUGGGCGCUGGAGAACUGAGGGGGGCUGCUCCUAGUACGAGAGGACCGGAGUGGACGCAUCACUGGUGUUCGGGUUGUCAUGCCAAUGGCACUGCCCGGUAGCUAAAUGCGGAAGAGAUAAGUGCUGAAAGCAUCUAAGCACGAAACUUGCCCCGA